UGGGGAAUAUUGGACAAUGGCGAAAGCCUGAUCCAGCAAUGCCGCGUGAGUGAUGAAGGCCUUAGGGUUGUAAAGCUCUUUUACCAGGGAUGAUAAUGACAGUACCUGGAGAAUAAGCUCCGGCUAACUCCGUGCCAGCAGCCGCGGUAAUACGGAGGGAGCUAGCGUUGUUCGGAAUUACUGGGCGUAAAGCGCACGUAGGCGGCGAUUCAAGUCAGAGGUGAAAGCCCGGGGCUCAACCCCGGAACUGCCUUUGAAACUAGAUUGCUAGAAUCCUGGAGAGGUGAGUGGAAUUCCGAGUGUAGAGGUGAAAUUCGUAGAUAUUCGGAAGAACACCAGUGGCGAA
This 346-nucleotide ribosomal RNA is filed under the name uncultured bacterium. Its description in RNAcentral is "partial 16S ribosomal RNA". It matches the Rfam family "Bacterial small subunit ribosomal RNA", at positions 355 to 719 of the family's 1533-position model. The record is from RNAcentral.